GACGAACGCUGGCGGCGUGCCUAAUACAUGCAAGUAGAACGCUGAAGGAGGAGCUUGCUUCUCUGGAUGAGUUGCGAACGGGUGAGUAACGCGUAGGUAACCUGCCUGGUAGCGGGGGAUAACUAUUGGAAACGAUAGCUAAUACCGCAUAAGAGUAGAUGUCGCAUGACAUUUUGCUUAAAAGGUGCAAUUGCAUCACUACCAGAUGGACCUGCGUUGUAUUAGCUAGUUGGUGAGGUAACGGCUCACCAAGGCAACGAUACAUAGCCGACCUGAGAGGGUGAUCGGCCACACUGGGACUGAGACACGGCCCAGACUCCUACGGGAGGCAGCAGUAGGGAAUCUUCGGCAAUGGACGGAAGUCUGACCGAGCAACGCCGCGUGAGUGAAGAAGGUUUUCGGAUCGUAAAGCUCUGUUGUAAGAGAAGAACGAGUGUGAGAGUGGAAAGUUCACACUGUGACGGUAUCUUACCAGAAAGGGACGGCUAACUACGUG
RNAcentral lists this ribosomal RNA (496 nucleotides) under uncultured bacterium. RNAcentral's name for it is "partial 16S ribosomal RNA". It matches the Rfam family "Bacterial small subunit ribosomal RNA", at positions 28 to 507 of the family's 1533-position model. The record is from RNAcentral.